This 74-nucleotide transfer RNA is filed under the name Acinetobacter baumannii. RNAcentral describes it as "tRNA-Gly". It matches the Rfam family "tRNA". Rfam says of the family: Transfer RNA (tRNA) molecules are approximately 80 nucleotides in length. Their secondary structure includes four short double-helical elements and three loops (D, anti-codon, and T loops). Further hydrogen bonds mediate the characteristic L-shaped molecular structure. tRNAs have two regions of fundamental functional importance: the anti-codon, which is responsible for specific mRNA codon recognition, and the 3' end, to which the tRNAs corresponding amino acid is attached (by aminoacyl-tRNA synthetases). tRNAs cope with the degeneracy of the genetic code in two manners: having more than one tRNA (with a specific anti-codon) for a particular amino acid; and 'wobble' base-pairing, i.e. permitting non-standard base-pairing at the 3rd anti-codon position. The record is from RNAcentral. RNAcentral also lists the same sequence under 1 other name. Lineage: Bacteria; Pseudomonadati; Pseudomonadota; Gammaproteobacteria; Moraxellales; Moraxellaceae.
GGGAAUAGCUCAGUUGGUAGAGCAUAACCUUGCCAAGGUUGGGGUCGCGAGUUCGAGUCUCGUUUCCCGCUCCA